GUUUCCAUAGUGUAGUGGUUAUCACGCUUAAUGCUUAACACGCAAAAGUGAAAGGUCCCCAGUUCGAAACUGGGUGGAAACA
RNAcentral lists this transfer RNA (82 nucleotides) under Alosa alosa (allis shad). RNAcentral's name for it is "tRNA-Val". The record is from RNAcentral. Lineage: Eukaryota; Metazoa; Chordata; Actinopteri; Clupeiformes; Clupeidae.